Molecule: long non-coding RNA, 1059 nt
Organism: Colossoma macropomum (tambaqui)
Lineage: Eukaryota; Metazoa; Chordata; Actinopteri; Characiformes; Serrasalmidae
Exons: 5
Source: RefSeq, a predicted model, not a curated record
GAACACGUGGAGAGAGCGGAGCAGAGCAGCUCAAGGCGAGAGAGAUUAAAGGCUAAUAUUAGCUUUUAAAAGAAAAACUGCGUCUUACAGCAUGUUUAUGGUUGAAAGUACGCGUCCCGUUGUCUCGCUCAGCUGUGUAACUGUGGGUAUUUGUCGGUUUUAUGACUAUAACCCUCCUUAAUGGAGUCCUUCAGGUUAUAAAUAUGUAAUAAACCUUAUACCAUUCCUGAAUGUUCUGCCUGAAGUGUUUGGGUUCAGGACCUGCCUGGUGGGCAAGGAGCUUCAGAUUGGGUCCAGAUCCUCAUGUGGUGAAGUUACUGCAGAUCUCCAAACUCUGCAUGGGUUUUGACUGAGACUGGUCCCGUCGCUGCCGUUGUGUCUCCUGUCAGGUGGGCCGUAACUGAAGAUGCCUUGAGGUCUUAAGACUGAUCCUGUUACUGCCGUUGUGUCUCCUGUCAGAUGGGCCGUAACUGAAGAUGCCUUGAGGUCUUAAGAUUCUGGCCACUUGGGGAUCAUCAGUCCUUGGUUAUUUAAGAUUGUAAGUGAAUGCUGACAGACUUUUUGUAGAUAUGUGUGCCACAUGUAUAUGCAUUAAAGGGGAAGUUCACCCAUUUUUCAAAGUAUCUGCAUGAUUGAGAUGUAAACAAUUUGGGUUUGGUGUGAAAUGCUUCGUUCUAUGGAAAACUUGGUCAGAUGUGUUUAUAGUAGUGGUGAUGGGAACCAUAUGUCCACCUCUAAAAGCUCCCUCCCAGAAAGUUAUUACAUGAAAUGGCUAUGGAAACGUUGGCUAAUGUCUGACACAUUGAUUUAGAUAGAUAAAGAUAGGUAAGACAGAUACAUAUACUAGGCAGAAAUGAAAAUAGGAAUAAAAAUAGACAUAAAUUGGGCAGAAAUAAAAAAAAAGACAAGUUAAAGUAUGGUAGAGAAAUAGAAGUUAUAGUAUGAGAGAGUAUUAAGAAGACAGACUUACAUAGAUUUGAGUGUUUUGGGCCAAAAUCUUUAGUAAAACCCACUCCUGCUGGAGAGGUGAAUGCAGUUGUGAUGCAAAAUAGACCCCAA